RNAcentral lists this ribosomal RNA (255 nucleotides) under uncultured bacterium. RNAcentral's name for it is "partial 16S ribosomal RNA". It matches the Rfam family "Bacterial small subunit ribosomal RNA", at positions 523 to 776 of the family's 1533-position model. The record is from RNAcentral.
GUACGGGGGGAGCAAGCGUUGUUCGGAUUUACUGGGCGUAAAGGGCGCGUAGGCGGUCGUGACAAGUCACUUGUGAAAUCUCCGGGCUUAACUCGGAACGGUCAAGUGAUACUGUCGGACUAGAGUACAGAAGGGGCAACUGGAAUUCUCGGUGUAGCGGUGAAAUGCGUAGAUAUCGAGAGGAACACCUGCGGCGAAGGCGGCUCUCUGGAACGCAACUGACGCUGAGACGCGAAAGCGUGGGGAGCAAACAGG